AGUGGGAUUUCUGAUUCAAAGGAUCAGUAUAUGCUUAACUUUAGAAGGGACUGCCAGACUGUUUUCCAGAGUGGCUGUUAACCAUUUUACAUUUCCACCAGAAAU
RNAcentral lists this microRNA precursor (105 nucleotides) under Marmota monax (woodchuck). Lineage: Eukaryota; Metazoa; Chordata; Mammalia; Rodentia; Sciuridae. The record is from RNAcentral.